GGGACGGUGGUAUAACGGUUAGCAUAGCUGCCUUCCAAGCAGUUGACCCGGGUUCGACUCCCGGCCGACGCA
This 72-nucleotide transfer RNA is filed under the name Trichonephila clavipes. It matches the Rfam family "tRNA". Rfam says of the family: Transfer RNA (tRNA) molecules are approximately 80 nucleotides in length. Their secondary structure includes four short double-helical elements and three loops (D, anti-codon, and T loops). Lineage: Eukaryota; Metazoa; Arthropoda; Arachnida; Araneae; Nephilidae. The record is from Rfam by way of RNAcentral.